This 465-nucleotide ribosomal RNA is filed under the name uncultured bacterium. Its description in RNAcentral is "partial 16S ribosomal RNA". It matches the Rfam family "Bacterial small subunit ribosomal RNA", at positions 28 to 507 of the family's 1533-position model. The record is from RNAcentral.
GACGAACGCUGGCGGCGUGCUUAACACAUGCAAGUCGAACGGAAAGGCCCUGCUUGCAGGGUACUCGAGUGGCGAACGGGUGAGUAACACGUGGGUGAUCUGCCCUGCACUUCGGGAUAAGCCUGGGAAACUGGGUCUAAUACCGGAUAGGAGCCAUUUUUAGUGUGAUGGUUGGAAAGUUUUUUCGGUGUAGGAUGAGCUCGCGGCCUAUCAGCUUGUUGGUGGGGUAAUGGCCUACCAAGGCGGCGACGGGUAGCCGGCCUGAGAGGGUGGACGGCCACAUUGGGACUGAGAUACGGCCCAGACUCCUACGGGAGGCAGCAGUGGGGAAUAUUGCACAAUGGGCGCAAGCCUGAUGCAGCGACGCCGCGUGGGGGAUGACGGCCUUCGGGUUGUAAACUCCUUUCGCUAGGGACGAAGCUUUUUGUAACGGUACCUAGAUAAGAAGCACCGGCUAACUACGUG